This is a long non-coding RNA of Phacochoerus africanus (Common warthog), 423 nucleotides long. RefSeq lists it as uncharacterized. The transcript is spliced from 2 exons. The record is from RefSeq and is a predicted model, not a curated record. NCBI's taxonomy places the organism in Eukaryota, Metazoa, Chordata, Mammalia, Artiodactyla, Suidae.
GUUGAGCCGAGCUCUCCAGAGCCCUUCCACUCCUCCCACCUGUCUCUCUGCUGGGUGGACUCUGACUGGCCUCUCGGCACCACCAGGGCUUCCAGGGGGGCCCUGAACCCCCAAAGUCAUGUCCCGUGAGGCCCAGAGAAGGAGGACUCACCCCUCAAGGGACGUGGGUCCCCACCCCCGGCCAGGAUGGGCUGAGAUGAACAAAAGGAUGUGCCUGGAACCCAGAGGGUCUGGAGGGACCAGGCAGCUGACCAGAGGACACUGAGCGAGAUCUCUCAAGGAGGCAUCCUGGGGAAGGAGGUGGUCCAGCCUCUGGGGGCCUGUGAACUGAGAGGGAGCCACCCUGGGGUGGGCAGCUCAGAGUGCUAUCAAUGGCCCUGGUGAUGAUCAUUUAUGAAGGACUUCCUUCCAGCUGGUCACUGA